Molecule: ribosomal RNA, 324 nt
Filed under: Triticum aestivum (bread wheat)
Lineage: Eukaryota; Viridiplantae; Streptophyta; Magnoliopsida; Poales; Poaceae
Description: partial small subunit ribosomal RNA
Source: RNAcentral
AUGAAUCAAAACCUUAAGAUUUUGUUCUGGAACGUUCAUGGUCUUAACUGCCCGGCCAGACGCUCGGCCGUUCGCUCCAUGAUCGCCUCGGUCUCUCCGAGUGUAGUCUGUAUCCAGGAGUCCAAGCUCGCUGAUGUUUCCCCUUCCAUGGUUGUUGAGGCGUGCGGGGAUGCCUUUCAGGACUUCUUCAUCCUACCCGCUGAUGGGACGCGUGGUGGCAUUAUUUUGGCUUGGAGAUGCGAUGAGAUCUCGUUGUCCUCCCCUGAUGUUGGCCUAUACCACGUCACUGCCCUCGCCACGGUGCCUGGGCGGGAGGGGCACUAG